AACGAACGCUGGCGGCAUGCCUAACACAUGCAAGUCGAACGAGACCUUCGGGUCUAGUGGCGCACGGGUGCGUAACGCGUGGGAACCUGCCCUUAGGUUCGGAAUAACUCCCCGAAAGGGGUGCUAAUACCGGAUAAUGUCUUCGGACCAAAGAUUUAUCGCCUUUGGAUGGGCCCGCGUUGGAUUAGCUAGUUGGUAGGGUAAAAGCCUACCAAGGCGACGAUCCAUAGCUGGUCGGAGAGGAUGAUCAUCCACACUGGGACUGAGACACGGCCCAGACUGCUACGGGAGGCAGCAGUGGGGAAUAUUGGACAAUGGGCGAAAGCGUGAUCCAGCAAUGCCGCGUGAGUGAUGAAGGCCUUAGGGUUGUAAAGCUCUUUUACCCGGGAUGAUAAUGACAGUACCGGGAGAAUAAGCUCCGGCUAACUACGUG
This 433-nucleotide ribosomal RNA is filed under the name uncultured bacterium. Its description in RNAcentral is "partial 16S ribosomal RNA". It matches the Rfam family "Bacterial small subunit ribosomal RNA", at positions 29 to 507 of the family's 1533-position model. The record is from RNAcentral.